AGGACGAACGCUGGCGGCGUGCUUAACACAUGCAAGUCGAACGGUAAGGCCCUUCGGGGUACACGAGUGGCGAACGGGUGAGUAACACGUGAGCAACCUGCCCUUGACUUCGGAAUAACAGUUGGAAACAGCUGCUAAUACCGAAUACGACCACAUGCGUCAUCGCGUGCGGUGGAAAGCUCCGGCGGUCAAGGAUGGGCUCGCGGCCUAUCAGCUUGUUGGUGAGGUAACGGCUCACCAAGGCUUCGACGGGUA
Molecule: ribosomal RNA, 255 nt
Filed under: uncultured bacterium
Lineage: Bacteria
Description: partial small subunit ribosomal RNA
Rfam family: Bacterial small subunit ribosomal RNA
Source: RNAcentral